AUUCCAUGAUGAGGACAUUUCUGAAUAAGAUUCUUGAUUCUCUCCCAUGCAUCCGAAAUUGCUUCAUCCCGUUCUUGACGAAACAUCAAAGUUUCAUUUCUAAACUU
Molecule: small nucleolar RNA, 107 nt
Organism: Cynara cardunculus var. scolymus (artichoke)
Lineage: Eukaryota; Viridiplantae; Streptophyta; Magnoliopsida; Asterales; Asteraceae
Source: RefSeq, a predicted model, not a curated record